UGUUUUUGCACUGUCCUUCACUGAUCUUGUCUGACCUUGGAAGUUAAGCAGGAUCACUUCCUGCUAAGACUUUGAUGGGAGACCACNUCGGGCCACUGGGUGCUGAGGCAA
This 111-nucleotide ribosomal RNA is filed under the name Salvator merianae (Argentine black and white tegu). The record is from RNAcentral. Lineage: Eukaryota; Metazoa; Chordata; Lepidosauria; Squamata; Teiidae.